This 435-nucleotide ribosomal RNA is filed under the name uncultured bacterium. Its description in RNAcentral is "bacterial SSU rRNA". It matches the Rfam family "Bacterial small subunit ribosomal RNA", at positions 8 to 443 of the family's 1533-position model. The record is from RNAcentral.
AGAGUUUGAUCCUGGCUCAGGACGAACGCUGGCGGCGUGCUUAACACAUGCAAGUCGAACGGAAAGGCCCUUUCGGGGGUACUCGAGUGGCGAACGGGUGAGUAACACGUGGGUGAUCUGCCCUGCACUUUGGGAUAAGCCUGGGAAACUGGGUCUAAUACCGAAUACACCCUGCUGGUCGCAUGGCCUGGUGGGGGAAAGCUUUUGCGGUGUGGGAUGGGCCCGCGGCCUAUCAGCUUGUUGGUGGGGUGAUGGCCUACCAAGGCGACGACGGGUAGCCGGCCUGAGAGGGUGUCCGGCCACACUGGGACUGAGAUACGGCCCAGACUCCUACGGGAGGCAGCAGUGGGGAAUAUUGCACAAUGGGCGCAAGCCUGAUGCAGCGACGCCGCGUGGGGGAUGACGGCCUUCGGGUUGUAAACCUCUUUCACCAUC